Molecule: long non-coding RNA, 252 nt
Organism: Rosa chinensis
Lineage: Eukaryota; Viridiplantae; Streptophyta; Magnoliopsida; Rosales; Rosaceae
Exons: 3
Source: RefSeq, a predicted model, not a curated record
GAUUUUGACGUGUAAGAUGUCGUUGGAAAGCUCUCUUCCUUCUCUUCAUUUCUGGGUUCGUUUCGUAGCUUAAUAUGAACUGUGGAAGGUGCAGCAACAAGAAGAAGAUGACGGUCACUGUAGCAUUUUUGAGGCAGCGUCGAUAUUUUCUGAUUCCGGCAGUCUCCGGCCACCAAAUUGGCGUCGAAGGGUUCUUGGAGUUUUCUGGAAAAAUUUCACCGGCCUAAUUGGAGCUCUUCCAGGGCGACGUAC